AUAACUGAUAAGAUGAGAAGUAGAAUGAUUUGGUAACGCAAUGAAAUGCUUCCUCUAAACACUGUGACGUGCGUAACAAUAAGGUAGUUUAUUGUUAGGUGCGAGAGCUCACUAAAGUCGGCAGAAAGUUGCCCUAGUUCAGAAAUGAAAGGAAAGGUCUGUAGAGGUAUAGGCUGUAAUUGAUAUGCCGGGAGUCUAUAAA
RNAcentral lists this non-coding RNA (202 nucleotides) under bovine gut metagenome. RNAcentral also lists the same sequence under 1 other name. The record is from RNAcentral.